This 468-nucleotide ribosomal RNA is filed under the name uncultured bacterium. RNAcentral describes it as "partial 16S ribosomal RNA". It matches the Rfam family "Bacterial small subunit ribosomal RNA", at positions 28 to 507 of the family's 1533-position model. The record is from RNAcentral.
GACGAACGCUGGCGGCGUGCUUAACACAUGCCAGUCGAACGGAAAGGCCCUGCUUUUGUGGGGUGCUCGAGUGGCGAACGGGUGAGUAACACGUGAGUAACCUGCCCUUGACUUUGGGAUAACUUCAGGAAACUGGGGCUAAUACCGGAUAGGAGCUCCUGCUGCAUGGUGGGGGUUGGAAAGUUUCGGCGGUUGGGGAUGGACUCGCGGCUUAUCAGCUUGUUGGUGGGGUAGUGGCUUACCAAGGCUUUGACGGGUAGCCGGCCUGAGAGGGUGACCGGCCACAUUGGGACUGAGAUACGGCCCAGACUCCUACGGGAGGCAGCGGUGGAGAAUAUUGCACAGUGGGCGGAAGCCUGAUGCAGCAACGCCGCGUGCGGGAUGACGGCCUUCGGGUUGUAAACCGCUUUCGCCUGUGACGAAGCGUGAGUGACGGUAAUGGGUAAGGAAGCACCGGCUAACUACGUG